This 301-nucleotide ribosomal RNA is filed under the name uncultured bacterium. RNAcentral describes it as "partial 16S ribosomal RNA". It matches the Rfam family "Bacterial small subunit ribosomal RNA", at positions 509 to 807 of the family's 1533-position model. The record is from RNAcentral.
CAGCAGCCACGGUAAUACGAAGGGUGCAAGCGUUAAUCGGAAUUACUGGGCGUAAAGCGUGCGUAGGCGGUGAGUUAAGUCUGCUGUGAAAUCCCCGGGCUCAACCUGGGAAUGGCAGUGGAUACUGGCUCGCUAGAGUGUGUCAGAGGAUGGUGGAAUUCCCGGUGUAGCGGUGAAAUGCGUAGAGAUCGGGAGGAACAUCAGUGGUGAAGGCGGCCAUCUGGGACAACACUGACGCUGAGGCACGAAAGCGUGGGGAGCAAACAGGAUUAGAUACCCGCGUAGUCCCUGUCUCUUAUAC